UACGUAGGGUGCAAGCGUUGUCCGGAAUUAUUGGGCGUAAAGAGCUCGUAGGCGGUUUGUCGCGUCUGCUGUGAAAACUCAGGGCUUAACCCUGAGCCUGCAGUGGGUACGGGCAGACUAGAGUGUGGUAGGGGAGAUCGGAAUUCCUGGUGUAGCGGUGGAAUGCGCAGAUAUCAGGAGGAACACCGGUGGCGAAGGCGGGUCUCUGGGCCGAUAUUGACGCUGAGGAGCGAAAGCGUGGGGAGCGAACAGG
RNAcentral lists this ribosomal RNA (253 nucleotides) under uncultured bacterium. RNAcentral's name for it is "partial 16S ribosomal RNA". It matches the Rfam family "Bacterial small subunit ribosomal RNA", at positions 524 to 776 of the family's 1533-position model. The record is from RNAcentral.